This 492-nucleotide ribosomal RNA is filed under the name uncultured bacterium. RNAcentral's name for it is "partial 16S ribosomal RNA". It matches the Rfam family "Bacterial small subunit ribosomal RNA", at positions 29 to 507 of the family's 1533-position model. The record is from RNAcentral.
AGUGAACGCUGGCGGUAGGCCUAACACAUGCAAGUCGAACGGCAGCACAGUAAGAGCUUGCUCUUACGGGUGGCGAGUGGCGGACGGGUGAGGAAUACAUCGGAAUCUACUUUUUCGUGGGGGAUAACGUAGGGAAACUUACGCUAAUAUCGCAUACGACCUACGGGUGAAAGCAGGGGAUCUUCGGACCUUGCGCGAUUGAAUGAGCCGAUGUCGGAUUAGCUAGUUGGCGGGGUAAAGGCCCACCAAGGCGACGAUCCGUAGCUGGUCUGAGAGGAUGGUCGGCGACACUGGAACUGAGACACGGUCCAGACUCCUACGAGAGGCAGCAGUGGGGAAUAUGGGACAAUGGGCGCAAGCCUGGUCCAGCCAUACCGCGUGGGUGAAGAAGGCCUUCGGGUUGUGAAGCCCUUUUGUUGGGAAAGAAAAGCAGCAGGUUAAUACCCCGCUGUUCUGACGGUACCCAAAAAAUAAGCACCGGCUAACUUCGUG